This 562-nucleotide ribosomal RNA is filed under the name Mariprofundaceae bacterium. RNAcentral describes it as "bacterial SSU rRNA". It matches the Rfam family "Bacterial small subunit ribosomal RNA", at positions 1 to 560 of the family's 1533-position model. The record is from RNAcentral. Lineage: Bacteria; Pseudomonadati; Pseudomonadota; Candidatius Mariprofundia; Mariprofundales; Mariprofundaceae.
UCUUUGGAGAGUUUGAUCCUGGCUCAGAACGAACGCUGGCGGCGUGCCUAACACAUGCAAGUCGAACGGUAACAGGUCUUCGGAUGCUGACGAGUGGCGCACGGGUGAGUAACGCGUGGAUAUCUGCCUAUUAGUGGGGGACAACUUGUGGAAACGCAAGCUAAUACCGCAUAAUCCCUACGGGGGAAAGCAGGGGACCUUCGGGCCUUGUGCUGAUAGAUGAGUCCGCGUCUGAUUAGCUAGUUGGUAGGGUAAAGGCCUACCAAGGCGAUGAUCAGUAUCUGGUUUGAGAGGAUGAUCAGACACACUGGAACUGAGACACGGUCCAGACUUCUACGGAAGGCAGCAGUGGGGAAUAUUGCACAAUGGGCGCAAGCCUGAUGCAGCGACGCCGCGUGUGGGAAGAAGGCUUUCGGGUUGUAAACCACUUUCAAUUGGGAAGAAGAGAUGAGCGUUAAUAACGUUCUGAUUUGACGGUACCUUUAGAAGAAGCACCGGCUAAUUUCGUGCCAGCAGCCGCGGUAAUACGAAAGGUGCAAGCGUUGUUCGGAUUUACUGGGCG